This 845-nucleotide long non-coding RNA is filed under the name Ananas comosus (pineapple). RNAcentral's name for it is "long non-coding RNA (ACOM_LNC022270)". The record is from RNAcentral. Lineage: Eukaryota; Viridiplantae; Streptophyta; Magnoliopsida; Poales; Bromeliaceae.
UGAGUUUCAAAAUCAUCAAGAUGUAACGGUUCACGAAAAAUGAUUUUUAGAAAUUCAGCAAAAUUGACACAAAUUUGUCGCAAUCCGUUCAAAAUAGAGAUUUAACUAAUAUGAUACCGGGGGUGGCUCUUUGAGCAUCUUUUUCAAACUAACACCUUAUAACACCGAAAAUUCUAAAAUAUUCAAUUUUUCAACUUUUUCGAUUAUUCAAUUCAAACUUCAUGUGGUAGCUUCACACACUUGCCGGACGACCGGAGUGGUAGCUCUUUCCAAUAUGUGGUGGUAGUUUUCACACUUCUUUCGGAUGUAACUCUUUUCACAUCUUUUAAAUAUAGGAGUUUUCUUUUUUUCCUCUUUUUUUUAAAAAAUAAUUUUAAACUCUCCCUAAAUUAGACAAUCUUACAAUUGAAAAUAUUUUGACAAAUUUUAGUCUAUUAGCGAAUAUCCAUCUAUCAUAUCCAACACACACAACCGAGAAAGAUUAAUCAUCAAGAGAUCAAAUUUGAUUUCAAAAUUUUGUUGAAUAUAUGUAUUAAGAAAUCAUAUAUUAAAUUAUCGUCAAACUAAUAAAAAGUAAAGUGGAGUAAAACCGAUAAUUAAUAUGAAUUUAAUUCAAGAAGAAUUCCGAUUAAAAACACUUUGAAAAAUUCUAAUCUCCCCAAAAUAAAGAUUUUCAAUCGUCUCCUUUCUCAAAGAAAAUUUUUAAAAUUUCCAAACAUCCUUCCUCAAAUCAUUUUUUUUAAAAAAUUUUGCACACGGAAAUCAUCAUGUAAUGCAAUGAAUAAAAAUAUGCAACAAGCACCAAUCAAAGCAUUACAUAAACAAUCAAAAUAAACUAAAACAAA